This 503-nucleotide ribosomal RNA is filed under the name uncultured bacterium. RNAcentral's name for it is "partial 16S ribosomal RNA". It matches the Rfam family "Bacterial small subunit ribosomal RNA", at positions 30 to 523 of the family's 1533-position model. The record is from RNAcentral.
AUUGAACGCUGGCGGCAGGCUUAACACAUGCAAGUCGAGCGGGGUGAUGGUGCUUGCACUAUCACUUAGCGGCGGACGGGUGAGUAAUGCUUAGGAAUCUGCCUAUUAGUGGGGGACAACAUCUCGAAAGGGAUGCUAAUACCGCAUACGUCCUACGGGAGAAAGCAGGGGAUCACUUGUGACCUUGCGCUAAUAGAUGAGCCUAAGUCGGAUUAGCUAGUUGGUGGGGUAAAGGCCUACCAAGGCGACGAUCUGUAGCGGGUCUGAGAGGAUGAUCAGCCACACUGGGACUGAGACACGGCCCAGACUCCUACGGGAGGCAGCAGUGGGGAAUAUUGGACAAUGGGGGGAACCCUGAUCCAGCCAUGCCGCGUGUGUGAAGAAGGCCUUAUGGUUGUAAGGCACUUUAAGCGAGGAGGAGGCUACUGAGACUAAUACUCUUGGAUAGUGGACGUUACUCGCAGAAUAAGCACCGGCUAACUCUGUGCCAGCCGCCGCCGUAA